RNAcentral lists this microRNA precursor (67 nucleotides) under Marmota monax (woodchuck). The record is from RNAcentral. Lineage: Eukaryota; Metazoa; Chordata; Mammalia; Rodentia; Sciuridae.
UCUCAUGAAUGAUCAAAGAAGUAGCUUCCUGAGAUGAAAUCUACUCUGGUGAUGUGAACAUUGGGAA